GUUGAAACACUGGUUCCUAUAAAAUCACCAAAGUUAAGCAACAUUGAGCCUGGUCAGUACCUAGAUAGGUGACUGCUUGGGAAUACCAAGUGUUGUAAG
Acanthosepion pharaonis is the source of this 99-nucleotide non-coding RNA. Lineage: Eukaryota; Metazoa; Mollusca; Cephalopoda; Sepiida; Sepiidae. The record is from the annotation of a GenBank genome assembly.